AGUGAACGCUGGCGGUAGGCCUAACACAUGCAAGUCGAACGGCAGCACAGUAAGAGCUUGCUCUUACGGGUGGCGAGUGGCGGACGGGUGAGGAAUACAUCGGAAUCUACUUUUUCGUGGGGGAUAACGUAGGGAAACUUACGCUAAUACCGCAUACGACCUACGGGUGAAAGCAGGGGAUCUUCGGACCUUGCGCGAUUGAAUGAGCCGAUGUCGGAUUAGCUAGUUGGCGGGGUAAAGGCCCACCAAGGCGACGAUCCGUAGCUGGUCUGAGAGGAUGAACAGCGACACUGGAACUGAGACACGGUCCAGACUCCUACGGGAGGCAGCAGUGGGGAAUAUUGGACAAUGGGCGCAAGCCUGAUCCAGCCAUACCGCGUGGGUGAAGAAGGCCUUCGGGUUGUAAAGCCCUUUUGUUGGGAAAGAAAAGCAGCAGGUUAAUACCCCGCUGUUCUGACGGUACCCAAAGAAUAAGCACCGGCUAACUUCGUG
RNAcentral lists this ribosomal RNA (492 nucleotides) under uncultured bacterium. Its description in RNAcentral is "partial 16S ribosomal RNA". It matches the Rfam family "Bacterial small subunit ribosomal RNA", at positions 29 to 507 of the family's 1533-position model. The record is from RNAcentral.